GGGGCAAUAGCUCAGUGGUAGAGCAUCUGUUGUGGACACAUGAGGUCCCAGGUUCAAUCCACAGUAACUCCA
Molecule: non-coding RNA, 72 nt
Organism: Podarcis lilfordi (Lilford's wall lizard)
Lineage: Eukaryota; Metazoa; Chordata; Lepidosauria; Squamata; Lacertidae
Source: the annotation of a GenBank genome assembly